CUCCGCAGCCCCGAGGUCCGCUCGCUCGUCUUCGGGGCUGGCCGGCCUCGGCUCCGGUCGCCUCCUGUCCGCCCCCUGCAGGCCAGCUGGUGGGACCGCCCAAGGCACGGGUCGGGGACAGGGGCGCGCAGUCCAGAGAGCGCUGGCGGUUCCACCAACCCCAGGCCGGCCGGCCUCACAGCCGAGAAGCGGUGCUGAUCCGGGCUCCCUCCCGCCAUGGCGCGCGUGCUGAUCGUGGGCGCCGGGCUGACAGGAAGCUUGUGCGCUGCGCUACUGAGGAAGGAGACGUCCGGUCCCUUGCAGCUCGCAGUGUGGGACAAGGCUGGGGAUUCAGGUGGAAGAAUGAUUACCGUCAGCAGUCCUCAUAAUCCACAGUGCGCAGCUGACUUGGGUGCUCAGUACAUCACUUGCACUCCUCAUUAUGCCAAAAGACACCAGAGUUUUUACGAAGAACUGUUAGCUCACGGCAUUUUGAAGCCACUGACCUCUCCUAUUGAAGGAAUGGUGAUGAAAGAAGGAGACUGUAACUUUAUGGCACCUCAAGGAGUUUCUUCCAUUAUUAAGCAUUACUUGAAAGAAUCAGGUGCAGAAGUCUUCUUCAGACAUUGUGUGACCCAGAUCAACCUGAGAAAUGAAAAGUGGGAAGUCUCCAAAGAAACAGGUUCCCCUGAACAGUUUGAUCUUAUUGUCCUCACGAUGCCAGUUCCUCAGAUUCUGCAGCUUCAAGGUGACAUCACGAACUUAAUUAGUGAAUGCCAAAGGCAGCAACUGGAGUCUGUGAGCUACUCCUCUCGUUAUGCUUUGGGCCUCUUUUAUGAAGCUGGCACGAAGAUUGAUGUCCCUUGGGCUGGGCAGUACAUCACCAGUAAUCCCUGCAUACGCUUCAUCUCCAUUGAUAAUAAGAAGCGCAAUAUAGAGUCAUCGGAAAUCGGGCCUUCCCUCGUGAUUCACACUACUGUCCCAUUUGGUGUUACACACUUGGAAUACAGCAAUGAGGAUGUGCAAGAGUUAAUCUUCCAACAGCUGGAAAACAUUUUGCCAGGUUUGCCUCAGCCAGCUGCUAUGAUAUGCCAGAAAUGGAGAUAUUCACAGGUUACAAAUGCUGUCGCCAGCUGUCCUGGGCAAAUGACUCUUCAUCUCAAACCUUCCCUUGUGUGCGGAGGGGAUGGAUUUACUCAAUCCAACUUUGAUGGCUGUAUCACUUCUGCCCUGUGUGUAUUGGAAGCUUUAAAGAAUUAUAUUUAGUACCUAAAUUGAUCCCCAGACUUUCAAACAAGCUACCUGCUGCUAAUUUGAAAAGUGAAAUGAAAUGAAAUGGAUAUGGCAAUAUCUCCUGCUGGAAGCCAUCCCAGAGAACCAUGAAACUCAGAUGACCAGCAUGCUGUAGAAGACCAUAGGGCUAAGGUGUCAAACUCCCCUGGGAGAGAGGGGUCAGCACCAUCUGAAAUAGUUGCCAAGGUGUAGGUAUGCCAGCCCACAGGACCACACAUCAUUACAGUAUUUCCAAACAAGAACUUUUAUUAAUCAAGCCAGCCAAGGAAAGCUGCUCUGUUUUGAAAGGAGCAUAUUCAAGUGAGAAACGACUUGAGCCGUGGGGUGAUUUAAUACUUGUUAGCUGAUAAAUAUAGCCUUUGCCAGAAUAAAACUUUAUGAUGCAGUGUUGAAAAGCUUAAUUACUAAACUGUCUAUGCACGUCUUGCUCAGGCAGCAAGGGUGACAAAUUAUAGCGGUGGAAUAGUAUUUUUCACCUUUGGCAUUUCUGAAGGGGAAAAGUAUGUCUAAAAACAUCAAGAAAGCAGUAAUAAUGCCAGACCAGAUAUUACUGGGGAAAAAAAAGACACUUUAUUGAGUCAUCAGCCUUCUGUGCAAAAUGCCAUGUUCCCCACCCCCCGCCUACCCACUACCUUGUUAAGUGAAGAGAACGAGGUCAAUUUUACAUUUGUCUGGCAUUUUAUACUUAUCCAAGCAUGCGUGUAGAUGUACAUCCUCACUUUUCAUCCUCCUAACACCCCUUUAAAAUAAGCAGGACAAGGGAUAUUUACUUGCAUUUAACAAAUGAGGAAACUGAGGCACAGAGCUUAGCCAACCAAGGUCAUAUAACGAUAUGCCAGGACAAUAACUAGGCCUCCCAUGACCCAUUUCUAUUUAUGAGCACCAUGCUGCGGCCAGAUGAACAUGAUAAUUAAAGCUGAACUGAAAUAUUAGUUGGGGGUACAGUCAGCACCAUGCGGUCCUCUUAUGGAUGUUUCAUUUCCGAGAGCUAACACUCAU
Molecule: RNA transcript, 2271 nt
Organism: Cynocephalus volans (Philippine flying lemur)
Lineage: Eukaryota; Metazoa; Chordata; Mammalia; Dermoptera; Cynocephalidae
Gene: RNLS
Gene name: renalase, FAD dependent amine oxidase
Exons: 9
Source: RefSeq, a predicted model, not a curated record